This 125-nucleotide small RNA is filed under the name Marmota monax (woodchuck). Lineage: Eukaryota; Metazoa; Chordata; Mammalia; Rodentia; Sciuridae. The record is from RNAcentral.
GCUGGGCAUGGUGGCACAUACCUGUAAUCCCAGUGGCUCAGGAGGCUGAGGCAGGAGGAUCGUGAGUUCAAAGCCAGCCUCAGCAAAAGGGAGGCACUAAGCAACUCAGUAAGAUCCUGUCUCUA